GGCUGUGUAGCUCAGUGGUAGAGCGCCCGGGUUUCUUCCUCCUAGAACCCUUUCCGCUCCCGCAGACCUAGAACCGUACAUGGUUUAUCUUCUCCGCCCGGGAGGUCGGUGGUUCGAUUCCACCCACAGCCA
Transfer RNA from Verticillium dahliae VdLs.17, 132 nucleotides. It matches the Rfam family "tRNA". Rfam says of the family: Transfer RNA (tRNA) molecules are approximately 80 nucleotides in length. Their secondary structure includes four short double-helical elements and three loops (D, anti-codon, and T loops). The record is from Rfam. Lineage: Eukaryota; Fungi; Ascomycota; Sordariomycetes; Glomerellales; Plectosphaerellaceae.